Molecule: ribosomal RNA, 1938 nt
Filed under: Bacillus cereus
Lineage: Bacteria; Bacillati; Bacillota; Bacilli; Caryophanales; Bacillaceae
Description: partial 23S ribosomal RNA
Rfam family: Bacterial large subunit ribosomal RNA
Source: RNAcentral
AGGUUAAGUGAAUAAGGGCGCACGGAGGAUGCCUUGGCACUAGGAGUCGAAGAAGGACGCGACAAACGGCGAAACGCCUCGGGGAGCUGUAAGUGAGCUUUGAUCCGGGGAUAUCCGAAUGGGGAAACCCGCUAGUGGUUAUACGCUAGCACCAUAUGGUGAAUACAUAGCCAUAUAGGAGACAGACCCAGGGAACUGAAACAUCUAAGUACCUGGAGGAAAAGAAAGAAAAAUCGAUUCCCGUAGUAGCGGCGAGCGAAGUGGGAAGAGCCCAAACCGGCACUAGCCGGGGUUGUAGGACCUUCAUAAUUGACAAAUCAUGAUAGCCGAGUGGUCUGGGAAGGCCAACCGGAGAGGGUGAGAGUCCCGUAGGUGAAAUUGUGAAAUGCAUGGAAGGAAUCCUGAGUACGGCGGGACACGUGGAAUCCCGUCGGAAUCAACGAGGACCAUCUCGUAAGGCUAAAUACUACCUAGUGACCGAUAGUGAACCAGUACCGUGAGGGAAAGGUGAAAAGAACCCCGGAAGGGGAGUGAAAGAGAACCUGAAACCGUGUGCCUACAAAUAGUCAGAGCCCGUUAAUGGGUGAUGGCGUGCCUUUUGUAGAAUGAACCGGCGAGUUACGAUAUCGUGCGAGGUUAAGCAGAAGAUGCGGAGCCGUAGCGAAAGCGAGUCUGAAUAGGGCGAAGAGUACGAUGUUGUAGACCCGAAACCGUGUGAGCUAGCCAUGAGCAGGCUGAAGGUCAGGUAACACUGACUGGAGGGCCGAACCAGGGCACGUUGAAAAGUGCUUGGAUGACUUGUGGCUAGGGGUGAAAUUCCAAUCGAACACGGAUAUAGCUGGUUCUCUCCGAAAUAGCUUUAGGGCUAGCCUCGAUGGCAAGUCUACUGGAGGUAGAGCACUGAAUGGGUGAUGGCCCCACCUCGGGGUACUGAUCUCAAUCAAACUCCGAAUGCCAGAUAGAUAUCAUCGGGAGUCAGACUGUGGGUGAUAAGGUCCAUGGUCAAAAGGGAAAGAGCCCAGACCGCCAGCUAAGGCCCCCAAGUGUCCGUUAAGUGGAAAAGGAUGUGGAGAUGCACAGACAACUAGGAGGUUGGCUUAGAAGCAGCCAUCCUUUAAAGAGUGCGUAAUAGCUCACUAGUCGAGUGACUCUGCGCCGAAAAUGUACCGGGGCUAAACGGACCGCCGAAGCUGCGGAUUGACACUUAGGUGUCAGUGGUAGGAGAGCGUUCUAACAGCGGAGAAGCAGUACCGGAAGGAGCUGUGGAGCGGUUAGAAGUGAGAAUGCCGGUGUGAGUAGCGAAAGAUAGGUGAGAAUCCUAUCCAUCGAAAGCCUAAGGUUUCCAGGGGAAGGCUCGUCCGCCCUGGGUAAGUCGGGACCUAAGGUGAGGCCGAAAGGCGUAGCCGAUGGACAACAGGUUGAUAUUCCUGUACCACUUAUUAAACUGAUGGAGUGACGGAGAAGGCUAAGUUGAGCGUGUUAAUGGAUUCACGUGUAAGCAGUGAGGUGGUCAUGUAGGCAAAUCCGCAUGGCAUAACAUUGAGCUGUGAUGCCGAAGCCGUAUGGCGAAGUCAACUGAUGUCACGCUUCCAAGAAAAGCUUCUAGGGUUAAUUUAGUAAGUGCCCGUACCGAUAACCGACACAGGUAGGCGAGGAGAGAAUCCUAAGAUGAGCGAGAGAACUCUUGUUAAGGAACUCGGCAAAAUGACCCCGUAACUUCGGGAGAAGGGGUGCUUGUGAAAGCAAGCCGCAGUGAAUAGGCCCAGGCGACUGUUUAUCAAAAACACAGGUCUCUGCUAAACCGCAAGGUGAUGUAUAGGGGCUGACGCCUGCCCGGUGCUGGAAGGUUAAGAGGAGAGGUUAGCGCAAGCGAAGCUUUGAAUUGAAGCCCCAGUAAACGGCGGCCGUAACUAUAACGGUCCUAAGGUAGCGAAAUUC